UGUUGUAGUCCAUGUAUGGUACAUUGUUAACUAGCAGUGGGAUGGCGUGCCUAUAACGCCUGCUACAUGGAAAAACAGACUCGUCUCAUGACGUCCUUCUCAUUGACGGAGCUGGAUUAUGACUAUAAGAAACCCGAUGGGUUUGUUGGAUUGUAGUUCUGUCAUUCGAGGGCAGGGAUACAUGACCUGCCAUAUGGGGCUGUAGCUUUUUAUACCCUAGGCCCUACCUGAAACAAGACCGUGAGUUCCAUUUCACCAUUGGAAAAAAUGUGGGGUUUGUUCUAUGUAGCUUUCAAGGUAAUAGGAUAUUUUUGAAAAAGAUUAUGCACGCAGUCACCACAGUAAGUUGCUACGGAUAACGGCAUCUGCUUCCUGGAUGACAAUGUGUGCGCAAUUAGAAAGUCAUUGUGAUCCCCAUUAGCUAUUGCAUAACCAUCAGCUACUCCCCCUGAGGUCCCGUCUGCCCAUGUGUUUAUGCUGCCAUAAUUAGGAGUGCACGGCAGGUGUGACUUUCCGCGUGCUUCUCCGCUAACUUCAAACAUAUGUUAAUAACCACACAAGCGCGUGUGCGCUGGGUCUAUUCACCUCCUUUCAGAUGGGGAUCUAUGAAAACUCUUCGCAAACGUGGCUGACAGAUGGUGCUGUCAUCACCCGGCCGAUGGUGAGCACAGCGUGCUGUUCAGGGCUGGCCUGUGCUGAAGUCCAUUAUCCACAGAACUAAAGAAAAUGGAAACGGGUUGAGGCUGGUCAAGUUUGUCCAGUAAGAAAAGAUACGAUCCUUAAAGAUAUUUCCGCAACAACCUAAUGCAAUCAAGUUUGUGUUUUCAUUCCUAAUGUUAUUUAUUUUAUCAACAAAAUGAUGGACGGUUUGAAUACACAGAUCUCAACCUGUUAUGUAGUGGUUUCAAUGACAGCUAAUUGAAGAUAAUGGCCAAAUGAAGAUGGGCCCGGCGACUGGCAGACUUUAAGUGAUGAUAUGAUCACAGUCUAUAAUGCUGCCUGGGUUCUCAGCUGAGAUGAGGAUCUCUGUUGCCAGGAUGUUUCCGUGGAAUCAGGGAUGUAUGUUAUGUAUUUACGUUUAGAGAAAUAUUGAAAUAAUGUAACUGGUUGGCACUCAGAUCAGAGACAAGAAAAGGCAGCUGGUUGAAGUGACAAUGCUGGGUGCUCCUCCUGCUGGUGUAAAGAUCAAAUUCCAAUUCCGUAAUAUCAUGACCACAUAAUCACCCCCCAACUUCCAGUUCACGUAUUCAUUGGCAAAACUCAAACAUUUUAGUCCCAUAAAGUAUAAUUUUUUGGUGAUAAUUUUCAGAAAUUGUUAACACAAAAAAACAAACAUAUUCAUUAUUUAUUAUAUUGGUUUCAACUUGAUUUCUGGUACUCUGUGUACACUGAGUGAUGGUGCAGCUAUUGUUCAAAUGUGAUCAUAGCUGUUGGAGUUAGGGGCUCUGGGGUGCUGGAGACGAGAUUCCUGUCUCCUUGAAUGUAGUACUCUUGAUUAGUUUUGAAAUAGAGAAAACGGCACUCCUUGUACAUCAGAUUAUUAAUGUAAAUAUAUGGACUAGCUUUUCUGCUUCUUAAUAGCUACUAAAUGUAAUAUAUGUAAACAUAUGUAAGAUUUUUACUGUACUACUUGGAA
This is a long non-coding RNA of Esox lucius (northern pike), 1636 nucleotides long. The record is from Ensembl. NCBI's taxonomy places the organism in Eukaryota, Metazoa, Chordata, Actinopteri, Esociformes, Esocidae.